GGACUCCUACGGGAGCCGGGCUCCUCCAUCAACAGCAAAACGGCUCCGUCCGGACUCCUACGGGAGCCAGGCUCCACCAUCGACAGCAGUUGCAGCUCCGCCCGGGCUCCGCUCUCGGUACCAAUUGCAGGAGGAGCCGAGCCUUAAAAGAGCCGAGCCUUAAAGGAGCCGAGCCUCAUCCCUGGCGCCAACGACUACAACCGCAGGCAGACUCCUCCCGGACUCCUACAAAGGCCGAACUCCGACCACUGCCGAGCCUUGAUCAACAGAUCUGUGUCCCCUGGCAGAUAACAAUAACUGCCAUGAUCCUGUAGCGAAUUCCACGCGGCUCCACCUCCCCCUGCGACAGGUGCGGCACGAUCCCAUUACUCUCUGACAGACUGUGUCGACAGCUAUGAUGCUGCUCCGCUCCCUGCGACAGGUGCUGCACGAUCCCACUACUCGCUGACAACUAGCAGUAACGGACGCCGCCCCACUACCUGCAGCAGGCCCUAUGUGGCGGGAUAUGAUGAUGGCCACGUAUCUGCUCCACUAUCUUUCGCAAUCAAUUCCCCUGACCAUGGGCGGCCCACUACCAGGCGGUUGCAGACGUCGCCAUCAGUCCGUUGCUUCCCCCGCCUAUAAAAGUGGGGGGACUCAGAUACGUUAUUCCUUAAGCUCUUUUGCCUUAUCUCAAAAACUCUGCUAAAUUCUCCGUUCGAGCACUCCAUUCUUGUUGAGGCAGAGAACUGACUUGAGCGUCGGAGGGUCUUGCCGGAGCAACGCCACCUCCGGUUUAGACUUCCCUUGCAGGUCCCGGCGGCGACCGCGGCUUCCUCAACUCCAGCUUCUCCGACGC
RNAcentral lists this long non-coding RNA (838 nucleotides) under Elaeis guineensis (African oil palm). RNAcentral's name for it is "long non-coding RNA (EGUI_LNC022123)". Lineage: Eukaryota; Viridiplantae; Streptophyta; Magnoliopsida; Arecales; Arecaceae. The record is from RNAcentral.